This 253-nucleotide ribosomal RNA is filed under the name uncultured bacterium. RNAcentral describes it as "partial 16S ribosomal RNA". It matches the Rfam family "Bacterial small subunit ribosomal RNA", at positions 524 to 776 of the family's 1533-position model. The record is from RNAcentral.
GACGAACCGUCCAAACGUUAUUCGGAAUCACUGGGCUUAAAGGGCGCGUAGGUGGGUUGGCCAGUCUAUGGUGAAAUCCUCCGGCUUAACCGGAGAACUGCCGUGGAUACUGCCAGUCUCGAGGAGGGUAGGGGCGUCUGGAACUAGCGGUGGAGCGGUGAAAUGCGUUGAUAUCGCUAGGAACUCCGGUGGCGAAGGCGAGACGCUGGACCCUUUCUGACACUGAGGCGCGAAAGCCAGGGGAGCGAACGGG